AGUAUUUCUAUCUAUCUAUCAUUAUACUUAUAUUAUUUUAGAAUAUAAAUAUACAUAACUAUGAAAAACCAAAUAAAGAUUUUAUGCUUAUAUAUAUAUAUGUCUUUUGCUUAGUGUGUUUAAUAAAUAAAUAAAGUGGCUAUGCUAAUCUGUAUCUAAAUAAAUCUCAAGCAUGGAAAUGAUGAAUAGUUGCUCUGCCUAAUUUGCACAUUUUAAGUUCUCUCUCAAGUUUAGACAUAACUGUUAUAAUUUAAAGCUUGCUCUAGACCUAAACUUGUGGGAUGAAAACUUGAUCUGAAAUCUAAGUUGUUAACGGAUACGAUAUGGGAAGGUUGAGCUGCUGUUUAUCUGUUUCUAGAGAUGCUAGAAUUCUGGAGAAUUUUAUCUUUAGAAAUCUUUAAAAUGUUGCAUGAUGAGUUCCUGUAUGAUGAGAGUUUAAAUUCCUACCACAGCCAUAUAUACAUGCUUGCUAGACUUCGAGCCACACAUUUACUUUUUACUGCUUAUGAGCAUUGAGUGUGGUCAGGCUGUGUAGACCCUUAGGAGCUUGUCAUGUGGUUAAAUCAAGAUUCACUUGCACGUUCACUCACACAUGCUACUUCUACUUCGGAAGUACCAUCCACAUAUAUCCAUACAUUUCCAUCUUCAGAAUCACCCAAAAAUAUUCUACUCCUAAUCCGGGAGAGAAUAGCCAAAAAUAAUUUUGUUUUUCCUUGUGUAAUAAAUGUCUCAAGAUCAAUAAAGAGUAUUAUUAUUAUGUCUUGUGUGUCUCUACUUUAUUUUUGUGCAAGAAAGCAGAAAACAAGUAUGGGGGAGAUCCCUCGACAUGCUAAACACACUCCGACUACACCACUCCACGAUUCAGGUACACACUCUGCACACUUUACUUUACACAUAUAUAUAUUUUAGAUUAUGCAGAAUAUUGUUCCCGACAUGAUAAAAUAAAAAGAUUAAAAUAUUUCUAAUCAUGAUUAAUCUCAAUCUGUGAUAUUUCCUAAAAACUUGCAAAUUAUUAUAAAAUCAUUUUAAACCCUGUGUUACUUAAGUCAAUAUGGAAUAUGUGAUGGUAGAGUAUGAGUUUCUUAUUCUUGAUAUCAUUGUUGCUUGGAGAAUUUAUUUCAAAAUAUUCAAAAUUCUAGCUACCAUCCUCAGUGUUUUAUAUGCCUGAUAAAACUGAAAAUAUUAAUUAUAAAAGCUAUCUGCUCUGUAUUGAGUUUGUUCAAAAUGAGUUAGACCCAUGUUGAGAGAUUUAUCAUGCUCCCAAGAUCAAGACAUUAUUUCAGUAAGAUUCACUCUUCCGAAGUAUUAUUGCAUUAGAGGCAUGGGCUAUGCAAAAAAAAAUAGAAAUAUUUCGAGGAAAUAAAAAGGAGCAAGUGCUCGAUAACCUCGCAGAAAAAAAUGGACAAGUGUCCGGCAGUAGAAUUAGGGGUACCUCGGUACCCACUUAAAAAAAAAGAGAAAAGAGAAAAAAAAUGAAAUGAUGAUAGCCCAUGGUCCCUCUAAUAAGCAAUAUGCCAGCAAGAGUUGACAAAGAUUUUAAUUUUCAAAGUCUUUGAUCUAAGAGUAUGACAUUUCCCUCCUCGGAUCCCGUUUUGAUCAGGCAAUAAAUGCAAAGUAAGUAUGCUUGAGAAUUUUUGCAAAAUAAAACAGCCUCAGUGAGAUAUAUAUAAAAGAUAAUGAGUGAUCUGAGAGAACCUAUGAGGAUCAAAAAGGUAUGCUAACUUUCUUUCAAAAAUAUACAAAAACUCCAAGUGACAGGAUUGAAAAGAAAGAAUCUUUACUCUUAACCAUAUACUUCCCUGACUACAAUACACAGUGGAAUUUUAACACCCUGCAAAUUAUAAAAGAGAAUGUUUUAAAUGUUUACCCCAGAUAUUGUUCUCAACCAUCCUUUUCUCGAGGACGAGUAAAAGCCUAAGUAUGGGGGUAUUUGUUGACGGUUCUUAAGUAUCAAUUUUAAUUAUCAAAUAAACAAGAGAAAGGACCAAUAUGCAACCAUCACCUAGAAUUAGGGUUUGAUCUAACAGAAUUCCACGAGUUUUGUUGUUUAUCUGUUUCUGCAGGGGGUUAUCAGGAAAUAAGGAAGAAAGGCCCACAUGUCAGGAUUACAUAGAGAUAUCAACGCACCGCGUAAUUUUACAUCAUCUAGAAGACUCCAGAAGCCACGAGAUCGAAGCGGAGGCAAAACUGGGCCAGGCCCAGGGCGCCCGCCCUGGUAGCCUGGGCGCCCGCCCCCCUGUUGGAGCCAAUUCAGGACUCCUUCGCUCGGGAUAUUCCACCGACCUAUUGGAUCAAGAAAAACAUAGUACCACCUCGCCUAUCGACCCAAAAACGCAUAGAAGGGGAGGACUAUAUAAGCAAGGCCCCCCUGGCCCCUGGAUGACAUGAAGAAAUUAUCAUAGAGACUGAGGGGUGCCCUCGAAGGAAAACCUCUUCUCUAAUUAAUAUUUCUUUUUAGGCUUAGCAAUCAAUGUAAGGUAGAAAUAGAUCUUCUAGUUUCUACUAGAUUGAGAGAGAUAGAGUGGAGGUGUAGAGUGGAGGAAGCCCGGCCUGUCGGUGUCUACUCCAAGCUUGUACAUGCGGGAUCAAGUUCUCCUAACCCGAAGCUUGCUCCUAGGAUUCUUCAGUAAUUCGACUUCUAAAUUCUAGUAAGUUCUUGUUUUAUUGUUCUUAUGGUUUAUGAGUUUACUUUAAUCUCUUCGCGUAGAGUUUAGAGUAAUCAUUGCUGGCGUAAACGUGGUGUUUAGGCUGGGGUACUCAUAGAUAUUCCCUGACUAGCUGGACCGUGGUAGUAGUGAGGAACUUGACGUUUCCGAGCUACCUUUGUAGAUCACAUCUCGUUAGCAGGAAGGAUAGGGUUUAUAGGUGCGGGUUGAACAUCCUUUGUGGUGUCUAGAUUCCGUUAGCCUCCCCAUUAGAACAGUAGAUCAUCCUUACCAAGGUUAGAAGGAGACUACGGUUGCAGUCUUCUCUAUUUAUCACUCACAUCGAAAGACAUUCUUUGUGCCUAAAGGGAUAAUAGCAAUAGAUUUGGUUAGUCAGAUGCACCCUUUCUCCCAGUGGUAAAAAUAUAAAUACGAUACUCUGGAAAACCUCCCGGGUGAAAUGCUCACCGAUAUCCGUGCGCUUGCGGAUCAUUUCCUUAUUGCGUUACCAAAUAUCAACAAUCAUUUCUGGCGCCGUUGCCGGGGAGAAAGACGGUUUGCUGAGAUAACUUUGAGUCUUGCUAUUAUCUUGUAUUAUACUUUUAUACUUUUAUUCUUUUAUCUUUUUAUCUUUAUGGAUAUCUCAAAUUCCAUAACUAUUAUUAAAUUCUUUGCACCUUCGGAGACCAGCCAUAGACCAUGGGAGUCAACACGUCCUGCCGCUAAUUAUGAUCUGUGUCCGGAGUUGAUUGCAAUAGGUCAAAACCAACCCUUUUCUAUAGCCGAGGUCCUAUCUUUUAAUCAAGAAGAUAAUGCACUUUUAGCUACACCUAGGGAAUCUGAUAAUCUUUCUAUAAAUUCUGGUUUAGACCUAGCCUUGCAAGACCAUGUUUUUCUUAGAUAUUUUCACAUUGGUCUUAAUCGUAUAACCUUUGGUAGAGUCCUUCUUUCUUUAUCAGUUAGUAACGGAAGGUAUGUUUUCAUUUGUGGACAUCCUUCUUGUACUAGUCUUCAUAGAAAAAUCAUAGAGAUAGAGAAGGAAUCAUCUCCCAUACAAGGAGAGGAAGUUUCAAUAGCCAAUUUCCAAACCUUCCAAUCCCAUGAUUCGGCUAUCCAACCCAUCCUUGAGCCUAAUAAUCUCUACUAUGCUCUUUCUCUUGAACCUCCCGAUAAUCCUAUGAAUCUCUCUAGACAUCCCAUGCAUAAGAAGGAGGAUUGAGGAGAGCAACAUCAAUGGCUAGAGGGCAUUAAAAAUUCAUGUGCUAUCACCACAUUUGAGAUCUCUAACCCUCUCUUCUUUUCUAUUUAUAAAAACUUUAAAAGAGCGGUUGUCGAUGCAUAUGUUUAUAAUAAAUAUUGCAGAUCUCGUCGAGUUAAUUGAUGGUUUCCCAAGGACAAGCUUAGUGUCCUAAAACAAGCACUUAUCAGAUUGUAACAUGAACUUCUAAUUACUUGCAACAUUACCUUGUGUAUUGAGCAUAUAAGAUAAUUGUAGAAAUAUUCCUUCGGGUAUUCUUGUCACUAACCUUUCUAGGAUUUGAGCAAGGACGGACUCAAGAGUUUCUGCAGUGGUUUUAUGCCUUAAAGGUACACAUGCGUUUAAACAAGAUCUCAUCUCUAGGUUAGGGUAAACUGUUAAGAUUUAAAACUUACUCAUCUCUUGAGCAGUUAAAAGAUAGAACGGUCAAGUCAAGCGUCAUGUCUCUUGUUCUUGAUCAACUAUAGCUCUGGAGUUUUUGCAGAUUUUCCAAUAAAACUCAGAGAUUCCUGUAUGACUCUCUCUAGUCUCUCUUUUGUGGUAUUUCUGGAUCCUUACCAAGGCAGUGAUGAUAUAUGCCUUCUCUCAAAGUAUGUGGUAUUUUUGGUAUGAGGCAUAGUGACAUUGCUUUCUCUCUCACCCAACUUUAAUAAGGUUUUGAUAUCUGGAGCUCAUAGGUGGGAGACAGCUAAUACAUACUUACAAGACAUUUAUUGCAUAGUCAAACCAUGGAUCCAGAGAAACAAGUCAAAAAGUCAAAUCAAGAUGUGCAUGUGUGGCGAAUGAAUGGUGUAUGGUGAUGAUGGUGAUAAUGGUGAAAACAAUGGUGAAAGUCUAAUUCUACUUUUGCUCUUUUGAGGGGAUACACACCUUUCUUGCACUUUGAAGUUUUUUGAUGGGAAUGAGAUGCUCUAUAUUUUAUUUUCUUUUUUUCUUUUUUUCAGGUGGGUAUCUUGUACCCCUAAUUCUACUGUCGGACACUUAUCCAUUUUUAUCUCUCGUCUCACUUUUUCUUUUCUUCGAGGUUUCAGGCACUUGUCCCUUUUUAUUUCCUCGUAUUCACUCUUUUUUUCCAGAGCACUCACCCUCCUAAAAUAAUGUAGCAAGUGGUAGUAACGAAAAUAUCAAGAGAAUUUAUUUCACGGGGAAUCACAGGGAUAGGAUAAUGUUUUUGGCUAGUCUCUCCUAGAUAGGAGUAGAAUAAUUUUGGGUGAAUCUAGAGAUGGAAAUGAAUGGAUGUAUGUGGAUGCAUACUUCCGGAGUAGAAGCAGCAUGUAUGAGUGAACGUGCAAGUGGAUCUUGAUUUUAACCACAUGACAAGCUCCUAAGGGUCUACACAGCUUGACCACACUCAAUGCUCAUAAGUAGUAAAAAGUAAAUGUAUGGUUCAUAGUCUAAUAAGCAUGUAUAUGCGGCUAUGGUAGGAUUUUAAACUCUCAUCAUACAGGAACUCAUCAUGCAAUAUUUUAAAGAUUUUUAAAGAUAAAAUUCUCUAGAAUUCUAGCAUCUCUAGGAACAGAUAAACAGCAGCUCAACCUUCCCAUAUCAUAUCCGUUAACGACUUAGACUUUAGAUCAAGUACUCUUCCCACAAGUUCAGGUUUAGAGCAAAUCUUAAUUCAGAACAGUCAUACCUUAACUUGAGAGAGAUUUCAAUUUUGAGAACUAGUCAUGGCAGAGCAACUAUUCAUUAUUUCCAUGUGAGAGCUUAUCAUGAGGGUUCAUAGCAAACUUUAUUUAUUUAUUUAUUUAGCAAACUAAGAAAAGAUAUAUAUAUAUAAGCAUAAAAUCUUUAUUUGGAUUUUUAUGAUUAUGCAUCUUUUUAUUAAUUGAGUAAAGUAUAAACAUGAGUAGAAACACUUAGCUGGAUAAAUGGGGGUGCUCUCCCCCAAGCUGGAUUUUGUCAUAAUUUCUUCUGAUGUAGCUAGCAGGUGGCGGAGGUGUAUUUGAAUGUCGGCAACACCCUGACAGCGAUUAGAAUGUCCUCCGUCUACAAGUCUUCUUUGAUCCUUGAAUUCUGUGGAGCUCAAAUAGAUAACAAAGCUUUGUGGAACUGGUUAAGUGUUAGCAUAAAAUCUCUUUGCCUUUAUCAUGUUGAGGCUCCUCAAUAAAUGUUACUCUCUUUGGUAGGAUCAUAAAUUUAUUUUUAUAUUUUCAUUUUUAUAGGACAUGAAUAUUUUUAUUUUUAUGCCACCACAGUGAAUGUACUUAUGGGUUUUAUGCCACGAGCAUACUCACAUGGGGCUUACUGAUUUUAACAUUUUUAAUUUCUUUUCAAGAUAGCAUGAUUAACUAACAAGCUAUUUAAGGAAAGUAAAUAAUUUAAGGGAAAAGGGAAUGCAGAAAGGAUAAAUAUGGAUAACUACUGAUUUUACCUUUCGACAAGGGUUCAAUGUUUUAAGUCUUCUGAACAAGACUUCUCACCGUGUUCAUUCUUCAGGUGCGUCCUUUGAUUCAGGUGCGGACCUUGACGUCUGCACCUCUUGAUACGGUGUCACCCAUGUUCUUCGUUUGCCCAGCAGUUCGAAGUGUGGCGUUGGCAGCAUCCUGCUCAGUGUGUUUGUGCUCGUAGAUCCAGGUCCUUCACUUGGUUGAGUCUGAGAGUUAUAAAACUCCUCCAUGUUUUGCUCGAAGUGUACCUGCUCAUAGAGACAAGGCAGAGAUCAAGUGCAUGGGUCCUGUUGGUGGAAAACACCAACAGAACCAAAAGUGUAUUUGUUCUUCUCUAACCUUAAGCAUAGUGAGCAAGACAAAGUUGAUGAAUGAUAAGUUCAUGAGUGUAGCACUUAUAACAUUUGUCAGAUCAGAUCGCUUAACCUUAUGGAGAGAUAAUCUAUCUAUGUAUAUGCCUUUUUCUUUAUAUCUCUCAUAGAUUGAACGUGUAACAUUUUAGCUCAUACGAUUAGGAGUGUGGGAUCAUGGAGGUAGUACUAGGAACAAAGAUUAAAGGACUAAACAUGCUGAAUCAGUUGGGUUGGUUAAUUUGGUGUUAUAAAUCAUACAUGUUUGUCUCUUUAUUUAUGUGAACGCGAGAACCAAGGAGAAGCUUAUAAAAGUGAUAGCCAGAUAUCUUAAGAUGUUACCUUAAUUGAAGAGUGAUGGUACCAUCUUACCUUGUGGAAGCUUCCCAUUCGUAGUGGUUGUGUAUCAUGUUUGUGGCACCCUCCAUGGAUCAUCUCUUAUGAGCUACGUCUUCCUUGUGUAAAUUGUUAAAAUUCAUGUGUCCCUCUCCUUGUCUCCAAUGUGAGUUUAUCUAAGGACUUCCUAGGUUGAUAUUGAAAGUUUUCCUACAGGGGUUAGUCCGACAAAAUAUACCAAUAUCUACUCAAGCAGUUUUUAGUUCAAUGACCAAACUAGACUCCAUGUCUAAUCAGAUUAAGGAAGGCUGUUUAACCUAAGCAGCAUGCUUAAUUUAAAAGCCAAUAGAAGUAUGUGCAGUACUUCCAAACUAACACUUACUAGGAUAAACAAAGGUAGCGUGAUGGCAAUUAUAGAGAUCUACUCAAGUGGAGAUGAAGUAGUGUGAUUAGUAUUUAACAAAUUGAGCAUGUCUCAAAGGUAGGGACAACCAACAUAGCAACAUGACAAAGGAUGUUUUAUGUAAAGUACUCCCCCAAGCUUGAAUUUUGCAAAAUUCAUGUUUGGGUGAAUUUAAUUCAAUGUUGUAUGAUGAUUGGUUGGACAUACCUUGUGCUUGUCAUUCAUCCAAUCUUCUUGCUCCAAUCUUGGAAAGGUUAGUGACAAGAAUACCCGAAGGAAUAUUUUCAUAAUUAUCUUUAUAUGCUCAAUACACAAGGUAAUGUUGCAAAUAAUUAAAAGCUCACGUUACGAUCUGAUCAGUGCUUAUUUUAGGACACUAAGCUUGUCCUUGGGAAACCAUCAAUUUAUGUCGGCGAAGUGGUUUCCCUUCCAACGUUGACCUAUAUCAAGAUCAACUCAACGAGAUCUGCAAUAUUUAUUAUAGACAUAUGCGUCGACAACUGCCCUUUUAAAGUUUUUAUAAAUAGAAAGGAAGAGGGGGUUGGAAAUCUCAAAUGUGGUGAUGUUGGGGAGACCAAUAGAUUGGGAAGAUGUUGCAUAUGAGCAUGGAGUAAAUGAAGUGGCUAUGAAAUAAAUUCCAUGCUCAUUAAUGUUAUCUUCGUCUCCAAUCUGAAUGUUCAGAGUUUCUCUUGGAUUGGUCUCACUUAUGUCCUCUUCUAUAGUUGGAUGAAUCCCAUUUUCAAAGGGAGUCAAGAACUCACCAUUUGAAAUUGAGCCAAAGUCAGAAUCCAUUAAGGCUUCUUCCUUAUCCAUCCAUUCUACACAUUCUAGCCAUUUAGAACUUGUGAUCAGGAAAGGGGAGCUAAUAGAAUUUGCUAUAUGGCUUAGCUCUCCUUCACUUGAUAUGUCAUCCUCGACUUCUUCAUAAAAGGAACCAGGACAUUCUCUAAGAGAAACAUUAUUGCAAGGAUUUGAAUUAUCCCUGGUUGAAGGUCUCUUAUUGUAACAGAACCGUCCAAUUUAUAAGAAUUCAAGUGAAUUAGCGACCACAGAGGCAGUCAAGCCAAUGGACUUGAACCCAUAUAAACCCGGUAGUCCGACGAAAUCUCAAAAGACCUCGAUUCAACCUACAUACAACCAAGAUCGUACAUGAUCAAGCAUCGCCAUCACAGAUUACAUACAUUCAUCACAGAACAUAGUUUUACAUCACAUCAGAGUUAAAAGAGGUUAUUACAAACCAGAUUGGUAGCGGAAACAAAGUAGUUUUAAAACAUCACACCCACUGUUUAAUUACAUGCCAGUUCCCUAGUCAAACCCAACAAAAGCACAACUGAAGAUAAAGAAGGUGAUCAUGCCCAUGAUCUAUUCAUCGUCCGUAGCCGGAUGAUGACAGUUAGCACAGUAGCCGUGGUACAUGACAUCAUCUGCAACAGGGGUAAAUAAAACCCUGAGUACGAGAAGGUACUCAGCUAGACUUACCCGUCAUAAACCAACAUAAAGUGACACCAAGGAGUAUGCAAGGCUGAUCUUUGUGGACUGGUUUGACUCACCUUUUUGCAUAAAAAGCCUUUGUUGUAAGUAACCCAUUUAUAAUAUUUCAGCAGCAGGUUCAUUACUUAACAACUAUCCACUAGAUUAGCACCUGAUCUAAGCAUACACUUGAGUAUUUAAGCAUCACAAUAAUAACCAUAUCCAGAUUAUCACAUAGCUAUCAACAUUCUCUCAUAACCGUUAAGUUUAUUUAGUGAGUUCUACGUGCGACUGCCCGUGCCAAGUUCUCACUAUCCGGGAGAGACGGCGAUUCGAAUCGAUUCCUAUCCAGCUGGAGGGGUAUUCCUAGCACUCACCCAAGCAUACUUCAUGAGGGUAGCUCGGAUCACCUUUAGCACAACUCCAGACCAAUUCGCGGGUCCGUUCAGCGCCGCACCCCCAGGGACCGCCAAUCUGCUAGGGUCUGGACUCUAACCUGACACCUUGGACUUACGCCAUUGACUCCACGCACAUACUUUCUACCAACCGGGGUGCGCACUCAUACAGAAUGGGGUAUCCAGCCAGAGUUGCACUCGUAGGCUUCGCGGUCGGAACGACUUAUCCGGCCAGCUAAGUGUUAGGCAUGCGUUCAACAUGACACGAGGACGUUACAUCAAUCAGUCCUUAAUCGACACAGACGGGGAUAGAUUCACACCCAAGACCUCCAUGCCUUGUUGCUGCACUAUCGUCAUCCCGCCCGGUCUCAAGUUCAUUAUUAGCACCUGGUUAUUUCCACGAUAGCAAAUAUAGCCAACCGUGAUCAGCAUCCACCUAUCUCUCGCAGGUGACAGGAAAUCACCCGGCUUCUACUGAGCUAAGCUUGGCUAAGCGUCAUUUCGAUCCUGGACCUACUCAGGUAAGGUAUGAGGUGGACAAGGUAGUCAUUAUGCAGCAAGGGUGUCAUAUCAACGCCUAACACCUAAUGCAACAAUACAUAACCAUAGUCGAUUGAUAGCUGAACAUGAUAAUAAAAUAGUAGGAGGCUUAUAAUGCUCCGAGGCUUGCCUUCAACGUAAGUAGAGGGAUGGUGGUCAGGGCACUCCGACAAGUCCUCAUCCUCAGCUCCUUGAGGUGGCUCCCCUUGUUGACCUUCCGGCUCCGGCAGCUCGAACUCCAAUACGGUCACGCCCUUGGGUACACCUAUGUAUGCAUGACAAGGAGAUAAAUAUAGAGAAUGCACAUAUGAUGCAUGAUGUCAUGAUGAAGAGCCAAAGAAACAUAAAACAAGGUAUAACAUGAGCAUACACUCCCAAAAUUAAGUGAAUCAUAGGAUAACAAGUAAGUGCAUACUUCUUCUCCGUUAGAGAGGCUAACUAGACAAGUUAAACAACCUUAGUCACUCCUAUUCAGUCACUGGUUUUGUAGACAGACCAACUUGUCACAAGUUUCAGCUAUAACUUAAGCAUCAUUUGGCCAAACUAAGCAAGUAGAUACUUUCUGGAAAGCUUAGUAAAUUUUCUACAAUUUACUUUCAGACAUCCCAGAAUGAUUCCCAACCGAAAUAUGCUAAAACAUACAAAGUUGGCUGGCUGCCCUGGAUAAUCCAGAGAGCAAGCACUUUGCAGCAGCUACUUGUAACAUUCAUAAAUUUUAAACUACUCAACCAAAUGUCAUGAAACUUGGACACGAAGUAGAUAAGAAAGUUAGCUACAAGUUUGUUGUAGACAAGUUUCCCAGAAAACAAAAUCUUCAAUUAGUUCUUAAGCAAUUGCUAUCAGCUACACAGAAUUGCUCUAGGAAAGGCAUAAAUAGCAAAAAUAAUAUUUUGCACAUAAUAAAAAUGUAUCAAAGGGUCAAUCCAAUUGCACCAGUAGAUGGAACAUGUCUAAGAAACACUAGAAAACAUCAUGGCAAGGUCUAAACUCAUUGCUAUCAUCACCUUUUUCAUUUAUUUAAUUAUUAAGGUGAUUUAGUGAACAUGCAUCCCAAGUGCUUCAAGAAUUCUAAAAAAAUUACAGCACGUUACUUAUGCUAACACAAGGUUACUGUAAAAUUUUCAGGGCACUUGCACAUACAGAUUGUGGGAUACAAAAAUAACAAGCUAGCAAAGGCAUGCAAGGCAUAAAUGUGAAAACCUAUCAAAAAACAACAGAUUUCAGAUUUUUCCUAGCUUUCUUUACACAUGAGUACAACACUCAGCAAGUUUCACCCCAAAAGGAGUUAUAAUUUAUUUAUUAAAAAUACCACAAGAAACUCUUAUUUGAACAAGAAAUAUUUAUAACUUCACAAUCAGGCCUCCAAAAAACAUGAUAAAUUUAUCAGAGCCUAUUCAUAUCAUAAGUAACAACACCCUAAAUUUGCAUGGCCAGCAGAUCCACAGAUCUCAAGAUAUAAUUACCUCCUAAUAAACCAAGAUUAAUUUAUAUCUAUUUAUUUCCAUAAAAACAUGGCAUGUUUCAUAUUUUUAUUAAAAACUAGAUUACUACCAGAACUUAGCAAAAUUGGAACCAUGUCAUUUGGAUAUAUAAAACUCGAGAUAUGAAUUUUCCAAAAAACAACAUAGGCUCUGCAAAACAGUGAACCAGGGAUGAGAGAGGAGAGACUGACACCCGGGACCCACGCGACAGAGAGACAGAGACAGGGGAGAUGCUCGUCGCCGGCGAAACUCAACGACGGUGAGGUCUCGGUCGGAUCCAAGGGCAUCUACGUGUUCCUCUCAUCAAGGCGGACUCAGUGACCUACUCUACCCGCGCUCUACUGGACCCUAGAGUGCUUGCCGUCGGGAAUGGCGGAGCGGCGGUGCUGCGCGGCGUUACUCCGGCGGAUCUAGGCAAUGGCGACGCGGUAGAGCUUGCGGACGAGCAAGAGCGACUCAAGACGAAGCUAUAGGAAGAAGAAUCACGGCCGGAGGUGAACCAGAGAGGUCUGGCCACGUUGCCGGUGAUUCCUGUGAACUCCGGCGAGGUGGAGCUCGCGUCGGAGUGGGCAAUGUGACCUCACCGGUGCUUGGCUAAGGAAACGGAGUGGACGUCGAGGUAGAGGACGUCGAGGCGGAGCUCUGGGCAGACUGGCUCGGCCGGAGACGCGAAGGAGCGGCCGGAAGAGCUCGCCGAAGCGCGGCGGAGCUCGCCGUGGCAAUGGCGGAGCGAAAUGGAGCGCUCUGAGCGAGUGGGGGUCGCGUCUGAGGCAUCCACUCGGUGCGUGGUGACUUGUGGACGCUGUGGGAGCUGACAGGGGGGCCGUCGACGGCGUACGGCCGACAGGUGGCCGGACACGCGGCGGCGGGUGAGCUCUCUCCAAACUGAAUCAUUUUUCUGAAACGCCGAUUGCAGUGACUGAAUCCCGAAGUUCGUCGACGUUUUACUCUCAGCUCACUCGAUGGUUUUGGCUCAGAUUUGGUCCUUUGGAUAGAGCUACACGAGUUCUACAAGUUUGAUUACACGAGUACAGUCUAAAUCGAUCUGGAUUUCAAACUACAACGCUCCCAAUCACCCUAUGUCGAAACUGGCCGAUUCAAGACUUAGCUAAAUUUGGCUAAGUGUAGAAACAACACUGAUUUUUGGCUUGUGGGUAAAUUUUGGAGAUGUUCCAAACUUUUUCGUAAAAAGUCAUCAAUAUAACUUUUAUAGCUUAUGAAAUUUACUACAACUUUAUUUCAGGUGUCACAGACAUGCAAGGUAUCUAACAUUAUUUUCAUAAAACAUCUUUGAAAGAAGGUCUAGGGGGACAAUUAGGUCAACCUAGGGUUAACCAUGACUUAGAGACAUUUUUGGCCAAAACCUUCAACAUGAACUUUGCUCAAAAUGAUGUUCUAAACAUGAUUAAAGUAUUUUGGAAGACAAUGUACACUUGUAUGCCUUAGUCACCCAUUACAGUCAACCAUAGCAAGUCAUAUAGCAAUUUAAUCACAAAGUACAUGUAGCAAAUGGCAUGUGAUCAUGGUAUGAUGCUCAUGAGUGAUCAUGAUGAUGCUUAUGUUGAUGCAAUGCUCAUGGUUAACAUGCAAGCUAACACUAGGAGUGUUACAGCCCUCCCCCCUUACAAAAAUCUCGUCCCGAGAUUUGAAAGACGUACCAUUUUUCAUAGAAUGAGGGAUAAGUUACUUGUAAAUAGUCUUCCCUUUCCCAAGUGGCAUCUCCCUCACUUUGACGGUUCCACAAAACUCUAAAGAGUUUGAUCACUCUCCCACGAGUAACUCGUUCCUUGACAUCAAGAACUUGUACAGGCUUUUCUUCAUAGGACAGGUCAGACUGCAACUUUAGGCCUCUUGUUUCAACUCGCUCUUUGGGGACACGAAGACACUUCUUUAGUUGAGAUACGUGGAAUACAGGGAAAACGGUUCCUAAUUCCGGAGGUAGUUGUACUUUGUAAGCUACCUUGCCACUUUUCUUGAUGAUUUGAUAGGGACCCACAUACCUAGGUGCAAGCUUUCUUUUUACACCAAAGCGAUUUACUCCUUUCAUGGGUGAUACUUUUAGGUACACGAAGUCACCUACUUCGAACUCAAGUGGUUUCCUUCUCCUAUCCGCAUAGCUUUUCUGUCUAGCUUGGGCAGCUUUCAUGUGUUGCUGGAUAAUGAGAACUUUUUCUUCGGCUUCUUUGACAAAGUCAAUUCCGUAGUACCUCCUUUCACCAGGUUCGACCCAGUUUAGAGGAGUUCUACACUUGAGGCCAUACAAAGCUUCGAAAGGAGCCAUUUGAAUACUCUCUUAAUAACUAUUAUUGUAAGAGAAUUCAGCUAAGGGUAACCACUUCUCCCAUGCACCCUUGGAAGAUAUAACACAUGCCCUCAACAUAUCUUCUAAAAUCUGAUUCACACGCUCAGUCUGACCGGAGGUUUGAGGGUGGUAGGCUGAACUGCGAACCAACUUUGUACCGAGGAGUGAAUGCAGAUGCUCCCAAAAGCGAGCAGUGAACUGAGGACCUCUAUCGGAAAUAAUAGUGCGUGGCACUCCGUGCCAUCUAACAAUCUGAGAGAAGUAUAAUUCCGCGUAGUCGGAUAUUCGGUGUGUCGACUUCACGGGGAUAAAAUGGGCUGACUUGGUCAAACGGUCAACAAUUGCCCAUAUGGAGUCGUGUCCCUUUUGAGUAGGGGGAAGGCCAACAAUGAAAUCCAUGCUGAUUUCUUCCCAUUUCCAACCUAGAACUGACAAGGGUUGCAAUAACCCUGCAGGUUUAAGGUGAACUGCCUUUACCCCGCAGCAAGUAUCACACCUAGCAACAUAAGCUGCUAUCUCCUUCUUCAUCUUGGUCCACCAAAAACGAGGUUUCAAGUCUUGGUACAUUUUGCUACCACCCAGAUGAAUGGACAACUUGGAAGAAUGAGCUUCAUCUAAAAUUUUGUUGCGUAGGUUGCGGUCUUUAGGUACAACUAGUCGAUCGUCAAACCACAGUACACCCUUCUCAUCUACCCUGAAAUGCUUGGUGUCUUGCUCUUGCAUUUUUCUUUUGAUAUGGAAAAUACCAGGAUCAGACUUUUGGAGCUCUACAAUUUGACUCUCUAACGAGCAGCUGACUACGAUGUUGUGCAGGACCACCGGAUGCAAUAAAUUGAAGCCUUCCUCUAAAAGAGGUCCAACAUGUUGUUUCCGGCUAAGAGCGUCGGCUACAACAUUGGCCUUGCCCGGAUGAUAGUGCACUUCUAGAUUGUAGUCUUUUAUCAAUUCCAACCAUCUUCUUUGUCUCAUGUUUAGCUCGGGCUGAGUGAAUAUAUAUUUGAGGCUCUUAUGGUCAGUGUAAAUGUGACAUAGGUUACCCAACAGAUAAUGCCUCCAGAGUUUCAACGCAUGUACAACUGCUGCUAACUAUAGAUCAUGAGUCGGGUAGUUGGCUUCAUGUUUCCUCAACUGUCGAGAGGCGUAGGCAAUAACUCGGCCUUCUUGCAUAAGCACACAACCUAGGCUAGUGCCAGAUGCAUCACAAAAGACAUCAAAUGGCUUUUCAAUGUCAGGCUGUGCCAGAACAGGGGUGGUGGUCAACAAAUGGCGUAAAGUGGUGAAAGCGACUUCACACUCCUGAGACCACACAAACUUCACAUCUUUUUGCAGUAGAUUGGUCAUAGGCUUAGCUAUUUUAGAGAAGUCUGGAAUAAAGCGACGAUAAUAUCCGGCUAGACCGAGAAAAUUCCGGACCUCGUGCACUGAAGUCGGGGCCUUCCGGUCUAGAACCUCCUGCACUUUUGAUGGGUCAACAGAAAUACCCUCUUCGGAUAAAAUAUGGACUAGGAAAGGCACUUUCUUCAGCCAAAACUCACACUUGCUGAACUUGGCAUAGAGCUGAUGUUCUCGCAAUCUAGUGAGUACAAUCCGAAGGUGCUUCUCAUGUUCUUGGGCAUUCUCAGAAUACACCAAUAUAUCAUCGAUGAACACCACCACAAACUUAUCCAGUUCAGGCAUGAACACCGAAUUCAUCAGGUACAUGAAAUGAGCAGGGGCAUUAGUCAGACCAAAGGACAUGACUAGAUACUCAUACAACCCAUACCUGGUAGAGAAAGCCGUUUUAGUAAUGUCUUCGGGUCGGAUCUUGAUUUGAUGAUACCCAGAUCUCAGAUCAAUCUUGGAAAACACUUUGGCUUUGGCUAAUUGAUCUAACAGGAUAUCAAUGCGAGGCAAUGGAUACUUGUUUUUAACAGUCACGACAUUGAGCGGACGAUAGUCUACACACAUACGUAGAGACUUGUCCUUCUUCUUAACAAAGAGAGCCGGACAACCCCAUGGAGAAGAACUAGGCCGAAUAAGACCUUUCUCGAGAAGUUCUUGUAACUGCUUUUCAAUUCUACCAAUUCGUUGGGUGGCAUGCGAUAUGGCCUUCUAGAGAUAGGCGCGGUACCCGGAAUUAGAUCAAUUUUAAACUCAAUGUCUCUGUCCGGUGGCAACCCGGGCAGAUCCUCUGGAAAAACAUCUGGAAACUCACACACUUGUUGGGUAUUUUAAACGCAAACAGAAAAAUCCGCAAGCGCACGGAUACCGAUGUAGCCUUCACCCGGGAGUAUUCCAGAGUAUCGAUUUUUUCCACAGGGAACGUGAGUGUACUAAUUACGAUCCAAGAUCGCCCAAGGAUAACUAUAUAAUUAUUUUUGGUGGGAAGAGAGGAAGUUUCCUGAGAGUUCUCUAAUUGAUCUAAGAAUCAAGAAUUACUUCAAGAUUAUCUAUUUCGGGACAUCAGAACACUAACCACAGAAAGAGAUGAGAAGGGGGCUAGGAAGCUCCGACUACGGUCCUACAAACACCGAUCCGAACGUGGUGGAAUACGUCGACCGUUAGGGCUGUCACUACCCUAAGGCUACCACAACAAUCCGCAGGAUUGGGUGCAAUUCCAGGUAAUUGCAAGACUAAACACCACGUCUAAUCUAUUAAUUACUACUCUAGCGUUAUAAAGACUAGAGCACUUGAUGCAAGCGGGAAUCCAAUAAAUAACUUGAAUGUAAAUAAAAGUAAUUAAAGAACUCAGGAAUUAUGAAUUGAAGAACCUGGAGAACGAUGAAGAACGAACCAGAUGCUGCAAAAGUAUAAUGUUGAGGAAGAUCCGACAGAUCCGGCUCCUCCUCCGCUCUCCUCUUCUCUCUCCCUAUUUUCUAGAUUACAACUAGAACUAACUAGAACUAGAACUAGAAGAACUAGAACUAGAACUAGAUGAACUAGAACUAGAUCUAGAUGAACUAGAUGUAGAACUAGAAGAACUAGAGGGAUCCUCUCUACUUGGAUGAAGAAUUGAAACCCUAACUUUGAUUCUGUAGAAGAGGUAUGAUCUCCAGGGGCCAGGGGGGUCUGGUUUUAUAGUCCCUUCAAGUGAAUCUGGGCCGUCGGAUCAAACCGACAUUGAUCGUGUGGUUUUCCUUGAAGUAUUAGGUCGGUGGAGCAUGAUCCUCGAACUUCACCCUGAUUGGUGGAAAGAGGUGGGCGGGCGCCCUCAGGACUAGGGCGGGCGCCCUGUCCCUGAGGCCUCUCGGCUUCCGCUUCGGUCCCGUGGCUUCUGGAGUCUUCUAGAUGAUAGAAAAUUGCGCGGCACGUUAAUAUCUCUAUGUAAACCCAACGUGUGGGCCUUUCUUUCAUAUUUCCUGAUAACCCCCUGCAGAAAUAGACAAACACCAAAACUUGUGGAAUUCUGUCAGAUAAAACCCUAAGUCUAGGUGUUGGUUGCAUUUGGAUCCUUUUCUAUGAUUAAUUGAUGGUUAAAUAUGAGCAUUAAGGACCGUCAACAAGCUCCCCCAAGCUUAACCUUUGCUCGUCCCUGAGCAAAGAUGAACUCAAGAGUUUCUGCAGUGGUUUCAUAACUUAAAGAUACACAUGCGUUUAAACAAGAUCUCAUCUCUGGUUAGAGUAAACUGUGAAGACUUAAAACUUACUCAUUUACCUUUCACCAUGGGACUUGUAACCGUCACUUCUGUCUUGAGUAGUUAAAAGAUAGAACAGUCUAGUCAAACACCAUGUCUCUUGUUCUUCGAUUAACUAUAGCUCUGGAGUUUUUGCAGAUUUUCAAAUAAAACUCAGAGAUUACUUGUAUGACUCUCUCUAGUCUCUCUUUUGUGGUAUUUCUGGAUCCUUACCAAGGUAGUAAUGGUAUAUACCUUCUCUCAAAGUAUGUGGUAUUUGUGGUAUAAGGCAUAGUGACAUUGCCUUCUCUCUCACCCUACUCUAAUAAGGCUUUUGAUAUCUGGAGCUCAUAGGUGGGAGACAGCUAAUACAUACUUACAAGACAUUUAUUGCAUAGUCAAACCAUGGAUCCAAAAGAACAAGUCAAUAAGUCAAAUCAAGAUGUGCAUGUGUGGCGAAUGAAUGGUGUAUGGUGAUGAUGGUGAUAACAAUGGUGAAAGUCUAAUUCUACUUAUGCUCUUUUGAGGGGAUACAUACCUUUCUUGCACUUUUGAAACUUUUUGAAGAGAAUGAGAUGCUCUAUAUUUUUUUUUCUUUUCUCUCAAGUGGGUAUCUUGUACCCCUAAUUCUACUGUCGGACACUUGUCCAUUUUUACCUCUCGUCUCACUUUUUCUUUUCUUUCGAGGUUCCGGGCACUUGCCCCCUUUUUAUUUCCUCGUAUCUUUUUUUUCUCUUUUUUUUUGUUUUUUUUAGAGCACUCAUCUCUUGAAAUAAUGUAGCAAGUGGUAGUAACCAAGAUAACUUGAGCAUUUUUUUUUCACAGGGAAAAACAGAAAUAGGAGAAUGUUUUUGGCUAUUCUCUCCCGGAUUAGGAGUAGAAUAUUUUUGGGUGGUUCUGGAGAUGGAAAUGGAUGGAUAUAUGUGGAUGGUACUUCUGGAGUAGAAGUAGCAUGUGUGAGUGAACGUGCAAGUGAAUCUUGAUUUUAACCACAUGACAAGCUCCUAAGGGUCUACACAGCUUGACCACACUCAAUGCUCAUAAGCAGUAAAAAGUAAAUGUGUGGCUCAAAGUCUAGCAAGCAUGUAUAUAUGGUUGUGGUAGGAAUUUAAACUCUCAUCAUACAGGAACUCAUCAUGCAACAUUUUAAAGAUUUUCAAAGAUAAAAUUCUCCAGAAUUCUAGCAUCUCUAGGAACAGAUAAACAGCAGCUCAACCUUCCCAUAUCAUAUCCGUUAACGACUUAGACUUUAGAUCAAGUACUCUUCCCACAAGUUUAGGUUUAGAGCAAAUCUUAAUUAAUAACAGUGAUGCCUAAACUUGAGAGAGAUUUCAAUUUUGAGAACUAGUCAUGGCAGAGCAAAUAUUCAUCUUUCCAUGUGAGAGCUUAUCAUGAGGGUUCAUAGCAAACUUUAUUUAUUUAUUUAUUUAGCAAGCUAAGCAAAGAUAUAUAUAUAUAAGCACAAAAUCUUUAUUUGGGUUUUUAUGAUUAUGCAUCUUUUUAUUAUUAGAGUAAAGGAUAAACGUGAGUAGAAUACUUAGCUGGAUAAAUGAGGGUGCUCUUCCCCAAGCUGGAUUUUGACAUAAUUUCUUCUGAUGUAGCUAGUAGGUGGCGGAGGUGUAUUUGAAUGUCGGCAGCACCUUGACAGUGAGUAGGAUGUCCUCCGUCUGGUAGUCUUCUUUGAUCCUUGAAUUCUGUGGAGCUCAAAUAGACAACAAAGCUUUGUGGAACUGUUUAAGGGUUAGCGUAAAUACCUAGCCUUUAUCAUGUUGAGCCUCCUCAAUAAAUGUUACUCUCUUUAGUAGGAUCAUAAAUUUAUUUUUAUAUUUUCAUUUUUAUAGGACAGGAAUAUAUUUAUUUUAUUUUUAUGCCACCACAGUGAAUGUACUUAUGGGUUUUAUGCCAUGAGCAUACUCACAUGGGGCUUACUAUUUUUAACAUUUUUAUUUUCUUUUCAAGAUGAUAUAAACCUGACUAAGUAAACUAUUUUAAAAUAAUUGAAAGGAAAAGAUAACUACCAAGUUUACCUCUUGGCAAGGCGUUCGGUGUUUUUAAAUCCUCCGAACGGGACUCUCCGUUUUCUCAUUCGUCCUGGGAUUCGCUAGAUGGCGUAGUCGGUGGUUCCGGCAGCGCCUGGUCUUCAUGUAUAACUAUCUUCUCUCUCCACACCUGACUCGGUGCUACGGUCUCCUCAGGACAGUUCUAUUCAAGUUGUAUGUCUUCAGACCUUACAACUUCUCCUUCAUCGUCUACCCAUCCGUCCUUGAUGAUUUGCCUUCUCUGAUUGCGGUUGCGUCGUCUUCUUCUUGUCCUGACCUGCUUAGAGUCUUCAACUAUAUGGUUAGGGUCAGUACAAUAGCGGCGUACCUUCUCAGAGGGGAAGUGCAUGUGGACUUCUCCGGUUCCAAUGUAGAUGAUUGCUUUAACGGUGUUGAGGAACGGUCUUCCAAGGAUGACGGGUGGAUUGUACUCGUCUUCUCCCAUGACAAUAACCUUCAAAUCAUCUGGAGCUGAAUGUAUUUUGGUUGUAGAUGCAUGGUUCCAUGCAGGAGCUGGGUCAUCCUUUUUGGUCAGGAAUGGUGACUUAAGUCGAUGAUCUUGACCUCCUUGAACUGCAGUGACCAUCUUAGCUGACUCCGUCCACAUUUGCUUGUUCUUGUUCCUCCUAUUGGUCCUUUCCUUGUUUCAUGUCAGGAUUGCUCUAAGAUUUGUGUAGUCUUGUUCUUGAAGGAAAACAUCUCCUUCCUCCCCUUGAUGUAGAAACUGAUCUUGGCAGCACUAGCGUAGAUGACAGCUCCUGAGGUGUUCAGGAAUGGCCUCCCUAGGAUGGGUGCCCUCUCAUCAGUACCAGUCUCUAUCACCAUGAAGUCUGCUGGGGCGUACAAGGUACCAACUCGUAUACAGAGGUUCUUCAAUAUUCCAUUUGGGCAACUUAGUGUACGGUCUGCAAGCUGCAAACCCAUGGUUGUUUCUGAUAAAGGAUGUGUAAAGAAUUUUUCUUAGAGUACUCUGGGCAUAAUGUUGACGCUGGAGCCAAAGUCGCAGAGUGCUUCUGGGAAGUCCACCAUGCCGAUGGAGAUCGGGAUGACGGGAUGUCCUGGAUUGUAUCUCUUAACCGGCAGAAGGUCAGUAAUUACUUCCACAAUAGGGUUACUCCAGUAGUUACAUCCUCAAGCAUCUCAGGGCAGUGAUUGCCUGAGUGUCUAGUAUCUCCAGUGUGUUUGUGCUCGUAGAUCUAGGUUCUUCACUUGGUGGAGUCUGGGAGUUAUAAAAGUCCUUCAUAUUUUGCUCAAAGUGUACCUGCUCAUAGAGACAAGGCAGAGAUCAAGUGCAUGGGCCCUGUUGGUGGAAAACACCAACAGAACCAAAAGUGUAUUUGUUCUCUCUAACCUUAAGCAUAGUGAGAAAGACAAAGUUGAUGGAUAAUAAGACCAUGAGUGUAACAUUUAAAACAUUUGUUAGAUCAGAUUGCUCAACCUUAUGGAAAGAUAAUCUAUCUAUAUUUAUGUUUUGUUUAUAUCUUCCAAAGAUUGAGUGUGCAUUUUAGCUAAUAUGAUUAGGAGUGUGGAAUCACAAAGGUGGAAGGACUAAACAUAUUGAAUCGAUUGGGUUGGUUAAUCUAGAGUUGUAAAUCAUACAUGUUUGUCUCUUUUAUUCAUGUGAACACUAGAACAAAGGAGAAGCUUAUAGAAGUGAUAGUCAAGUACCUUAAGAUGUUACCUUACUUGAAGAGUGAUGGUACAAUAUCACCUUGUGGAAGCUUUCCUCUCUUAGCGGUUGUGCAUCGUGUUUGUGGCACCCUCCAUCGAUCAUCUCUUGUGCCUUCCUUGUGUAAAUUGUUAAACUUCAUGUGUCUCUCUCUUUAUCUCCAAUGUGAGUUUAUCUCAGGACUUCUCAGGUCGAUAUUGAAAGUUUUCCUGUAGGGGUUAGUCCAACAAAAUAUCCAAUAUCUACUAUAGCAUACUAUCGGCUCAAAGAUCAACCUAGACACCAUGUCUAAUUUGAUUUAGGAGGGAAUUUUAACCUAAGCAUCAUGCUUAAUUUAAAAUCCUUUGGAAGUAAGAUCAUCUUUCCUAAACUAAGCACCUUGCUUAAUUAAGAGAUAAAUGAAACUACUCCAAACCUAGACAUAUACUAAAGCAAAUAAAGGUAGCAUGAAAGCAUUUAUAGAGAUCUACUCAAGUGGAGAUGAAGUAGUGUGACUAGUAUUUAACAAAUUGAGCAUGUCUCAAAGGUAGGGACGACCAACAUAGCAACAUGGCAAAGGAUGUUUUUAUGUAAAGUACUCCCCCAAGCUUGAAUUUUGCAAAAUUCAAGUUUGGAUGAAUUUAAUUCAAUGUUGUAUGAUGAUUGGUUGGACAUACCUUGUGCUUGUCAUUCAUUCGAUCUUCUUGCUCCAAUCCUAGAAAGGUUAGUGACAAGAAUACCCGAAGGAAUGUUUUUACAAUUAUCCUUAUAUGCUUAACACACAAGGUAAUAUUGCAAAUAAUUAAAAGCUCAUGUUACGAUCUGAUCAGUGCUUAUUUUAGGACACUAAGCUUGUCCUUGGGAAACCAUUAAUUUAUGUCUGCGAAGUGGCUGACCUAUAUCAAGAUCAACUCAACGAGAUCUGCAAUAUAUAUUAUAGACAUAUGCAUCGACAACCACCCUUUUAAAGUUUUUAUAAAUAGAAAGGAAGAGGGGGUUGGAGAUCUUGAAUGUGGUGAUAUUGGAGAGACCAAUGGAUUGUGAAGAUGUUGCAUAUGAGCAUGGAGUAAGUGAAGUGGCUAUGAAAUAAAUUCCAUGCUCAUUAAUGCUUAGAGUGAAAUCCAUGUGGUGUGGUGAAAAUGGUAAGGUGAGUGUGGUAUAAAAGGAAAAGAAAAAGGAUACACGGACGACUUGGUUCGAAACUAGCACAGCUACCGUUCCCCAGCAACGGCGCCAGAAAGCUUGUUGGGUAUUUUAAACGCAAACAGAAAAAUCCGCAAGCGCACGGAUACCGAUGUAGCCUUCACCCGGGAGUAUUCCAGAGUAUCGAUUUUCCACAAGGAACGUGAGUGUACUAAUUACGAUCCAAGAUCGCCCAAGGAUAACUAUAUAAUUAUUUUUGGUGGGAAGAGAGGAAGUUUCCUGAGAGUUCUCUAAUUGAUCUAAGAAUCAAGAAUUACUUCAAGAUUAUCUAUUUCGGGACAUCAGAACACUAACCACAGAAAGAGAUGAGAAGGGGGCUAGGAAGCUCCGACUACGGUCCUACAAACACCGAUCCGAACGUGGUGGAAUACGUCGACCGUUAGGGCUGUCACUACCCUAAGGCUACCACAACAAUCCGCAGGAUUGGGUGCAAUUCCAGGUAAUUGCAAGACUAAACACCACGUCUAAUCUAUUAAUUACUACUCUAGCGUUAUAAAGACUAGAGCACUUGAUGCAAGCGGGAAUCCAAUAAAUAACUUGAAUGUAAAUAAAAGUAAUUAAAGAACUCAGGAAUUAUGAAUUGAAGAACCUGGAGAACGAUGAAGAACGAACCAGAUGCUGCAAAAGUAUAAUGUUGAGGAAGAUCCGACAGAUCCGGCUCCUCCUCCGGUCUCCUCUUCUCUCUCUCUAUUUUCUAGAUUACAACUAGAACUAACUAGAACUAGAACUAGAAGAACUAGAACUAGAACUAGAUGAACUAGAUCUAGAUCUAGAUGAACUAGAGGUAGAACUAGAAGAACUAGAGGGAUCCUCUCUACUUGGAUGAAGAAUUGAAACCCUAACUUUGAUUCUGUAGAAGAGGUAUGAUCUCCAGGGGCCAGGGGGGUCUGGUUUUAUAGUCCCUUCAAGUGAAUCUGGGCCGUCGGAUCAAACCGACAUUGAUCGUGUGGUUUUCCUUGAAGUAUUAGGUCGGUGGAGCAUGAUCCUCGAACUUCACCCUGAUUGGUGGAAAGAGGUGGGCGGGCGCCCUCAGGACUAGGGCGGGCGCCCUGUCCCUGAGGCCUCUCGGCUUCCGCUUCGGUCCCGUGGCUUCUGGAGUCUUCUAGAUGAUAGAAAAUUGCGCGGCACGUUAAUAUCUCUAUGUAAACCCGACGUGUGGGCCUUUCUUUCAUAUUUCCUGAUAACCCCCUGCAGAAAUAGACAAACACCAAAACUUGUGGAAUUCUGUCAGAUAAAACCCUAAGUCUAGGUGUUGGUUGCAUUUGGAUCCUUUUCUAUGAUUAAUUGAUGGUUAAAUAUGAGCAUUAAGGACCGUCAACAACACUACAUGAAUCUCCGCUACAGUGAGUGGUCUGAUAGCAUUAGCUGCGUGACGGAUGUCGUUGCUUCUAGGGAGUUGAACUAAGAAAGUUUCUUUACUAUCAGGCUCCCUCAACAUGAUUACCCUAGUUGAAGUGUCUAUCAACACCCCAUGAUCACUCAUCCAUUUCAUUCCUAGGAUAACAUCUAUUCCCAAGCCCGGUAAGAUGACAAGAUUUGCUGAAUAACUACGCCCUUCAAUGCCAAUAUGUAAAUCCCUCACUAAUUGAUUUGUAGAGAUCUGAUUACCAGCAGCACUAAUGCAAAAUUUUCCACUAUCCAGAUCAAUUACAUGUUGCCCAUGCUUAGAUGCGAAUGCUUGACUCACGAAUGAAUGCGAAGCUCCAGAAUCAAACAAGACAACUGCAGGGUGUUUAUUUACAAGGAACAUACCAGCCGUGACCACUUCACCUUUGGGGAUUUCUUCAAUGGUGGUAUAGUGCACUCGGCCAGUAUGGUUGUUACCCCCAGCUGUAGAAUUCCUCUUGGGAUAAGGGCAAUCUCUCGCCCAGUGACCAACUUGUUUGCAAUUGAAGCAGGGACGGUUAUUAGGGGGAGUCUUGGGACCUCCUUGACCCGUAGCACCCCUAGGAAGAGCAACUGUGAAGGACUUGCGAACUCCCGUCUUCACAUUUGACUUUUUCUGCGGCGGCCUAUACCUGGUCACAGCAUUUGGUGGGCGAUAGGCCAGCUUACUUGUCACUGGAGCCUUGGACUGUGAAGCACCUGCCUCAUAGGCCCUCUUGCGGUUCUUGGACGCGGCAUACAUGGCAUUGGAGUUCUCUUGAGUCAAUGCAUCACUCACAAACUCAUUAAAGGUGGUACUCUUGUUACCAGCCAUGUUCUUGGACAGCUUGGGUCCCAACCCUCUCUUGAAACUAGCAAGCUUCUUGACUUUAGUAUCAACCAUUUCAGGAGCAUAGCGAGACAGAUUAAUAAAAGCAUGAAGAUACUCAGUUAAGCUUUUAGUGCCCUGUGUCAAGUUCAUGAACUCAGUAUGCUUGAUAGUCAUUAAGCCUUGGGUAAUAUAAGUGUUCCUGAAAGUAGUUUUGAACUGAUCCCAGGUCACAACAGCAUUGGCAGGCAAGCUAGUCCUGUAAUGACUGCACCAAACCCCUGCUUUGCCCUCCAACUGGUGGGCUGCAUAUUCCACCUUUAACUCAUCAGUCACCCUCAGCAAACGGAACUUCUGCUCGAGAGUGUUGAGCCAUUCAUCAGAUUCUAGAGGUUCGACAGCCUCCUUGAAAAGUGGCAGCUUGGUGUCCUGGAAAUCCUUGAAGUUACUGUGCUGAUUAGCCUCUCCACCUUGACGGACAUGGCGACCACCCCGGUUCUGCUGCGCCAUAGUCUGCAUAGCUUCAUUAAGCAUUCGCUGGCCCUCAACAAGGGUUGCCAAGAGCUCAGCAAGCGUAGGCGGGGGAGGAGGUGGUGGUGGCGGCACUUCAUUGUGACCGGAGCGAGUAUUGCGAGCCAUCUACACAAGGCAUACCAAGUGACCGUUUAGGACAACAGAUAUAAUUUCCAUGAACCUCAAUUGCUGCCGUACGGAAUUUAAUGAAGUAAAUUCACAUAAUUCAGGGCACAAUAAUGCAUGUACAACAAGUGAAUAUCACCCACGACACUUGGUUAUUCUCGUGAUCAUUCACAGCCACAAUUCACAAGGAUUAAAGACAUUGCAGAAAAUUUAUUUAAGCUCAACAUAAACAUGGAGCAUCACAAUUUAAGUGCAUAGGGUCACACAACAUCAUUGCCACAACUUAAGUCUUACAGGAGGGGCACCAUGGCCAAAUACAUAGAGUCUCAGCUGAAAAUUCAGAUUACAUGUGCAUUACAUAAAGAGAUGGAAACUGAUACAUGAGCAUGGAAUCUUUGCUAGGCUACAUGUCCUCCUCGGAUUCUCCAUUAGAAAUGAUGCCACCAUCCUGAUCUUCCUCACUAGGAGCUUCUUCAUGAUUAAAGGGGACAGGAUGUGGAAUAGGAUUUAUGAUAUUAUUUAGGCGAUGGACAUCUAACUACAGCUCAGCAAUCCUAGUGAUCAGCUCUUCCUCUCUCAUUUCCACAUGGAACAAAUCUCUAACUCUAGCAGCUUCUCUAUUCUCAGCUAAGCGCAUAGCCUCAUCUCUUUCUCUAGUCAUUUGCAUCAUACAGGCUUGUGCCUCAUUGCGCUCUCUAACUGCGUUUUCAACUUAGUUGCAACGGGCUUGCAAAGCGGUGUGAUAGUUUUGGAUUUCAGCUUAUGCAUCCCUAAAAGCCUUGCGGUGCUUGCGCACACGCUUGCGCAGUUUGCGCUGCCCAACUUGAGCUUGCUGGAGCGCUAGCAUGGCCUCUAUGUAGGUGUUGUUGACGGUUCUUAAGUAUCAAUUUUAAUUAUCAAAUAAACAAGAGAAAGGACCAAUAUGCAACCAACACCUAGAAUUAGGGUUUGAUCUGAUAGAAUUCCACGAGUUUUGUUGUUUAUCUAUUUCAGCAGGGGGUUAUCAGGAAAUAAGGAAGAAAGGCCCACAUGUCGGGAUUACAUAGAGAUAUCAACGCACCGCACAAUUUUCUACCAUCUAGAAGACUCCAGAAGCCACGGGAAGAAAGCAGAGGCCGAAAGGGGCCAGGCCCAGGGCGCCCGCCCUGAGGACCUGGGCGCCCGCCCCCCUCUGGAAGCCAUUCAGGACUCUCUUCGCACACGAUGUUCCACCGACCUAAUGGAUCAAGGAUAACGUAAUACCACAUCACCUACCGACCCAAAAAUGAAUAGAGGAGGAGGACUAUAUAAGGAGACCCCCUGGCCCCUGGAGAAGACAAGAAGUUAUCAUAGAGAUUGAGGGGUGCCCUCGAAGGAAAACCUCUUCUCUAAAUAAAAUUUCUUUUUAGGCUUAGCAACCAAUGUAAAGUAGAAAUAGAUCUUCUAGUUUUUACUAGAUUGAGAGAGAUGGAGUGGAGGUGUAGAUUGGAGGAAGCCCGGCCUGUCGGUGUCUACUCCAAGCUUGUACCUGCGGGAUCAAGUUCUCCUAACCCGAAGCUUGCUCCUAGGAUUCUUCAAUAUUUCGACUUCUAAAUUCUAGUAAGUUCUUGUUUUAUUGUUCUUUUGGUUUAUGAGUUUACUUUAAUCUCUUCGCGUAGAGUUUAGAGUAAUCAUUGCUGGCGUAAACGUGGUGUUUAGGCUGGGGUACUCAUAGAUAUUCCCUGACUAGCUAGACCGUGGUAGUAGCGAGGAACGUGACAAUUCCGAGUUACCUUUGCAGACCAUAUCUCGUUAGCAGGAAGGAUAGGGUUUCUAGGUGCGGGUUGAACAUCCUUUGUGGUGUCUAGAUUCCGUUAGCCUCCUUGAUAGAACAGUAGAUCAUCCUUACCAAGGUUAGAAGGAGACUACGGUUGCAGUCUUCUCUAUUUAUCACUCACAUUGAGAAACAUUCUUUGUUGCCUAAAGGGUUAGUAGUAAUAGACCGGUUAGUCAGAUGCACUCUUUCUCCUAGUGGUAAAAAAAUAAAUACGAUACUCUGGAUAACAUCCCGGGUGAAGUGCUCACCGAUAUCCGUGCGCUUGCGGAUCAAUUCCUUAUUGCGUUCCCAAAUAUCAACAAGCAUUUCUAGCGCCGUUGCCGGGGAGAAAGACGGUUUGCUGAGGUAACCUUGAGUCUUACUACUAGCUUGUAUCUAUACUUUUAUCUUUUCUUAUCUUUUAUAUUCUUUAUUUAUUUUCUUUACUCUUACCUUAUGGAAAACCAAAAUUCUAAAUCGAUCCAUGAAUCUGCAAUCCCUUCAGUAACUGACCUUUUACCAUGGGAACCAUCACAGCCUAUCCAAACAUCCCAGUAUAAGUUAAGUUCUAGGUUGAUUGCCAUGAUUCCAAACCUAUCUUUCUCGGGAAAGGAAGACGAAAACCCUUACCUUCAUGUUAGAGAUUUUGAGCAAACAUGUGAUUGUCUUCGCAUUGAAGGCAUUUCUGAUAAAACUUUACGUUGGAAGCUUUUUCCUUUUUCCUUAAGGGGAGAAGCUAGACAAUGGUACAGUCAGAAGGUAAGUCAACAACGAGGUGAAUGGGAAGUUUUACAAGCCAACUUUUGUCUAGAUUUCUAUUCCCUCGACCGUAUAGCCGACCUUAGACUCGAAGUCCUAUCUUUUAAACAAAAAGAUAAUGAAACUUUGGGAAAAUCCUGGAAACAUUUUUCUGAUCUUUUAGAAUCUGGUCCAAACCUUAAUCUUGAAGACCUUGUUCUUUUAUUUCACUUUUUUCGAGGUCUUCAGAAAAAUCACAAACAAAUGCUACACACAAUGCCUAGAGGUUCUUUCUUUCGCAUCCCUACUGAUGAAGCUAGAGUGAUCCUAGAUAGAAUCCUAGAAGCUGAGAUGGAUAAUACCCUUCAUGAUGAAACCUACGAAGCCGAAGUAGACACUCUGCCAAAUUCUUCAUCUACUUUAGCUAUCCCAAGUUCUGAGCCACAAAAGGAAGAAAUUCCACCACCGGACUUCAUGCUGGAUAUAGAAUCCGAUCUUUUUGCCGAUUUUGGAAACAUUUCAAACUACCAUUUUGUUGACAAACCCCAAAAUGGCCAGUUUAGCAUUUAUUUGCCAAGUGAAUAUCAAUUGAGAGAGCUUAUCUCAGUUAUGAGUAGCGAGUGGUUGGAGGAAUCAGAGCUUUCCUCUGAUGUGAUCCGUUUGGACACACCCUCUAUAACUAUACGCUGUGCUUAUAAUUCUAAUCAAUUUAAUGCUCUUUAUAAUCCUAUUGUGGGGAUCAACAUCAUGUCUGAAUCUUUUGCACUUAAAUUAUUUAAAAAUCUUGUCUUAACCCCCACAACAAAGGUCAUAAAGGAAUCUUCGGGACGAUUAGUCCCCAGUCUUGGAAUUAUUAAUGUCCUACCUCUUACGGUAGAAGGCUCCAUGGUUCAUUUGAACUUCUAUAUCUUUGAUACAUGGGACUUCGACCUGUUGAUAGGACAACCUUUUAGAAGACUCCUUUAUGAAGGUCAUACUGGAAAGCUACACAUUUCUUUCGAAAAAACUUUUAAAUUCCCAAUAACAAUUUCACACUCCUCGAAUAAUAAGGCCGAGUCAUUUCUUUUGCCUGAUCCUAUGGAGGAGGUAAAGGCUGCAUCUCUUGAACUUUUAGAAGAAUCAGACUUAGAAGACGAAACUCCUUUCUUCAUAGAAGAAGAAGCCAAACCUUCUGAACCUGAACCCUUAGAUGAGUUUGCAGAAACACCUAGACCCCCCAUAGAGUUUAAAACUUUACCACCCGGUCUUAUCUAUGCUUUCCUAAACAAUAAUCCAGAGUUUCCUGUGAUCAUUAGCGAUAAACUCACUUAGGAGCAAACUCUGCGAUUGAUGACCAUUCUUGAGAAACAUCACUCAGUUUUCGGCUACUCACUCCAAGAUCUUACAGGAAUCUAUCCUAUGAUUUGUACCCAUCAUAUUCCAACAGAUCCUUCUGUUUCACCUUCUCGAGAACCCCAACGUAGACUUAACAACACUAUGAGAGAGGUAGUUAAAAAGGAAGUUAUAAAGUUGCUGCAUGCAGGGAUUAUAUAUCUUGUGCCGCACAGUGAGUGGGUAAGCCCAGUUCAAGUUGUGCCCAAAAAGGGAGGCAUGACUAUUAUUAUGAAUGAAAAGAAUGAGCUAAUUCCGCAACGCACCGUCACAGGAUGAUGGAUGUGCAUAGAAUAUAGAAAACUAAACAAAGCCACGAGAAAGGAUCACAUUCUAUGCUUACCGUAGAAUGUCUUUUGGGUUAUGUAAUGCACCAGCUUCUUUUCAAAGAUGCAUGAUGCCUAUAUUUUCUGAUAUGAUUGAAGAUAUUAUGGAAGUUUUCAUGGAUGAUUUCUCUGUAUAUGGAAAAACUUUUUAUAGUUGUCUUGAAAACUUAGACAAGGUUUUGCAAAGAUGUGAAGAAAACCACUUAGUCCUUAAUUGGGAAAAAUGUCAUUUCAUGGUUAGGGAAGGAAUAGUGCAGGGACACCUAGUGUCUAAAAGAGGUAUUGAGGUAGACAAAGCUAAAAUUGAAGUAAUUGAACAACUACCUCCACGUGUGAACAUAAAAGGAAUUCGAAUCUUUCUUGGCCAUGCUGGUUUUUAUCGCAGAUUUAUAAAAGAUUUCUCAUUCAUUGCUAGACCACUUACUCUUUUGCUAGCCACGGAUGCUCCUUUCAAAUUUGAUGAUGCAUGUCUAACAUCUUUUAAUUUAUUAAAGAAAGCACUCAUCUCUGCACCAAUCAUUCAACCCCCUGAUUGGUCGUUGCCUUUUGAAAUUAUGUGUGAUGCUAGUGAUUAUGUUGUGGGGCAGUAUUAGGACAAACUAAAAAUAAGAAGCAUCAUGCAAUUGCUUAUGCCAGUAAAACAUUGACAGGAGCUCAACUUAAUUAUGCAACCACUAAAAAAGAGCUUCUAGCUGUUGUCUUUGCCAUUGAUAAAUUUUGAUCCUAUUUAGUUGGAGCUAAAAUAAUUGUUUACACUGAUCAUGCUGCACUAAAAUAUUUGCUCACUAAAAAAGAUGCUAAACCUCGCUUGAUUUGAUGGAUCUUAUUACUCUAAGAAUUUGACUUAGAAAUAAAAGAUAAAAAGGGAGUAGAAAAUUCUAUUGCUGAUCACUUGUCUAGAAUGUAUUUUAAGAGUCCACAGGAAACCCCCAUCAAUGAUUCACUCUAGGACGACAUGCUCUACGGGAUUAACAGGUCUGACCCCUGGUAUGCAGAUAUUGUUAAUUUUAUGGUUUCAGGGUAUGUACCACCAGGAGCAAACAAGAAGAAGCUUAUUCAAGAAAGUCGUUCACAUAUAUGGGAUGAGCCAUACCUCUUCCGAGUAUGCUCUGAUGGCUUACUCAGGAGAUGUGUGACCACUGAGGAAGGAUGGAAGAUCAUCGACAGAUGUCAUUCAUCACCAUAUGGAGGUCACUAUGGAGCAUUCCGUACACAUUCAAAGAUCUGACAGUGUGGAUUCUACUGGCCUACAAUGUAUGAAGACAUGAAGCAAUAUAUCAGAAGAUGUGGGCCAUGUCAAAGACACGGAAACAUAAACAUAAGAGAUGCAAUGCCACUCACCAACAACCUUCAGAUUGAGCUCUUUGAUGUCUGGGGAAUAGACUAUAUGGGUCCAUUUCGUCCAUCAAAGAAGUGCGAGUACAUCUUGGUGGCAGUUGACUAUGUCUCCAAGUAGGUAGAGGCAUUACCUUGCAAGCAUGCCGACAACAUCAGUUCAAAGAGGAUGUUUGAAGAAAUUAUAUUUCCAAGAUUUGGAGUCCCUAGAGUAGUGAUAAGUGAUGGAGGAGCACACUUCAUCGACAAACGCUUCAAGCAAUAUCUAUCAAAACAUGGAAUCCGUCACAACGUCGCUACUCCCUAUCAUCCUCAGACAAGUGGCCAAGCAGAGACUUCCAACAAGCAAAUCAAGAAUAUUCUUCCGAAGACAGUAAAUGAAAUGAGAAUGGCGUGGAAAGACAAGCUACCCGAUGCACUCUAGGCAUACCGGACAGCAUACAAGACCCCAAUUGGAAUGUCUCCAUACCAAUUGGUGUACAGGAAGACUUGCCACCUACCUGUUGAACUAGAGUUCAAAGCACACUGGGCCAUAAAGAGAUGGAAUAUGGACCUAGAUGUUGCUGGAGAUCAUAGAAGAAUGCAAUUAUCAGAAUUGGAAGAAUGGCGAGAGAAAGCAUAUCACAAUUCAAAGAUCUACAAAGAAAGAGUCAAAAGGUGGCAUGACAAGAGAAUCAAGAAGGAGUUCACACCCAGAGAUAAGGUAUUACUUUUUAAUUCCAGGGUGAAGCUUUUCGGGCAUGGAAAACUCCGGAGCAAAUGGGAAGGACCAUUCAAGGUAAUUAAUUCAUCAUCCCAUGGAGCUAUCACACUUCAAAAUGACGAAGGUACGUUAGUCAAGGUAAAUGGUCAACGUCUUAAACUAUUUUUAGAGCCCAAUAAAGAAUUAGAAGAAAUAGACGUAAUCCAUUUUUACCUUCCCAUGGAGAAUUAGAGCCCGACACUUUUAAUCUGAUAUUUUUCUAAAUAAUUUUACAUCUAGAAACGCGCUCGAGGAAGUGGGCCCACAGAGGGGCCAGAGAGAGGGCGGGCGCCCAGAUCAGGUGGGCGGGCGCCCCGCUCCUGUUCCCCCUCGGUCCCGAUUUUCUCUGUUAUGGAAAAUGCACUUAUGGUAAUCCGAAUAAUCCCUCAGAUGGAAUGUUUCGCACGCACAUCGACGGGAGCAACCCGAACAACCCUUAGAGGCACUUUUUGACCCCUAUAUAAACAGACCCCUGACAUGAGUUUUCAAACACCAAACCACCAAGCCUUCUCUUCUUCUUCAAUUAGAGCUUGAUUAGUUCCUCGCUGCUCCAAUGGUCGAGAAGUUCCACGAUGAUUGGGAAGUCGUCCCCUUCAACCUCAACAUGGAGCCUGUGGAAGACCUCGAUGCCCGUGCUCUCGUCCCGGCCAACACAGAGCGACAGCUAGAAGCCAUACCAUUACGCCAACGCAGCUCUGCCCCAAUCCUACCAUGCUCAACCAGUUCUCACCGCACCGCCACAACCCCUACUUCUCAAGGGAUCAUCAUCCAAAACAAAGACCACCAUCAAGGUGCCAACCGGCACGAGGAUCCUUCCACCCAGACCCAAUGAGAGGGUCGUUGGAGUCAAGACCAACCGGAGCGGCGAGAUCAGCAGUAUUCGCUACACUACGAAGGAAGAAAGGCCUUACUUCGAAGGGAUUAGAGCAGCCAAAGUCCGUUUCAUCCCUCCAAAGGCAGCCCCGAAGCACGCUCUCAAUGCUUUUGAGACACCUCCCAAGCGUCGCAAGACUAUAAUGGAUAUUGAUGAGGACGUUCGCAGACUAGACAGAGUUAUCAUAGACCUCCAGUCCUCGAUUAAUUCCCUCACUAGGCAGCUCUCUAAUCACAACACCAUUAUACUAGGCCUUAGGCAGGAUCUUGCUAGUGCCAACAAGAAGAUUAAGGAGUUAGAGCGCCGCUGAGUUAUCUAGAUUAGACCUUGAGGCAAUGCAUCUUAGUUAUCUAUCUUUAAAUUCGGUUUAGGUUUACUAUUAUCAUCAGUUUGUUACUAUUGCUAUCAGUUUACUACUAGUCAUUUGUAAUAAAUGCCUCAAGGUUAAUAAAGAGUAUUAUUAUUAUUAUUAUUAUGUCUUGUGUGUCUCUACUUUAUUUUUGUGCAAGAAAGCAGAAAACAAGUAUGGGGGAGAUCCCUCGACAUGCCAAACACACUUCGACUACACCACUCCACGAUUCAGGUACACACUCUGCACACGUACUUUACACAUACACAUAUCUUGGAUUAUGCAGAAUACUGUUUCCGACAUGAUAAAUGAUAUAGAUUAAAAUGUUUCUAAAUAUGAUUAAUCUCACUCUGUGAUAUUUCCUGAAACUUGCAAUUAUUGAAAAAAAUCAUUUUAAAACCCUGUGUUACUUAAGUCAAUAUGGAAUAUGAGAUAUUAGAGUAUGAGUUUCUUAUUCUUGAUAUCAUUGUUGCUUGGAGAAUUUAUUUCAAAAUCUUUAAAAUUCUAGCUACCAUCCUCAGUGUUUUAUAUGCCUGAUUAAACUGAAAAUACUAAUUAUAAAAGCUAUCUACUCUGUAUUAAGUUUGUUCAACAUGAGUUAGACCCUUGUUGAGAGAUUUAUCAUGCUCCUAAGAUCAAGACAUUUAUUCAGAAAGAUUCACUCUUCCGAAGUAUUAUUGCAUUAGAGGCAUGGGCUAUGCAAAAAUAAAGAUAUUUCGAGGAAAUAAAAAGGAGCAAGUGCUCGAUAACCUCGCAGAAAAAAUGGACAAGUGUCCGGC
RNAcentral lists this long non-coding RNA (33174 nucleotides) under Sorghum bicolor (sorghum). Its description in RNAcentral is "long non-coding RNA (SBIC_LNC002760)". The record is from RNAcentral. Lineage: Eukaryota; Viridiplantae; Streptophyta; Magnoliopsida; Poales; Poaceae.